CCAGCACCUCCUUCGACGCGACCUGAGCUCAUUCUCUCUCACUCUUGCCUGGAACCCUAUAGCGCUCGCUUCCUUCCUCUCCUGCUCUAUUUCCAUGGCUACUGUCUCUCCCUCAUUAACCGCCUCCGUCCCCUCACCGGCGCCAUCUCCUCUGCGGGCAAGCUCUCUCCGGCCGCAAGCCGGUGCUUCUCGUCCAACGAUAGCACGUCCUUGCUCUGUGAUCCAAACCCCAACUGGUCCAAAUGGCCUCCACACUUUGUUCUUUGUUUCUGGGUUUGCAGAUUCCGGGUUCUUCCUGCUCUCUCUCUGUCUCUUUUGAUUUUUAUUUCUUUUUAGAGUCUCUGAAAGAUUUUGUUCAAGAUCUAAGAAUUCACUUGUUUGUGAUUGUUAGUGACACUGAUAUUGUUCUUUGUUUGAUUUGACUGGGUUUACUUAGGUCUCUUUGCUUUGGAGAAAUGGAGGUCACGAUGCCCAUUUGCAAGACUGAUACUCCAACUCCGUUUAAGAUGUGGAGGUCGGUGAAGCUGUCAAGGUAGUUGUUCCGGAGUCUGUUCUAAAGAAGAGGAAGAGAGAAGAGGAAUGGGCCUUGGCAAAGAAGCAGGGGCUUGAAGCCACCAAGAAGAAGAAUGCUGAGAAUAGGAAGCUUAUUUACCACAAAUCCAAACAGUACACCAAGGAGUACGCGGAGAAGGACAAUGAGUUGGUCCAGUUGAAGCAUGAAGCAAGGCUGAAAGGAGGAUUCUAUGUCGAGCCAGCGUCUAAGCUUUUGUUUAUAUAUUGAGAUCUUUAUAGUUCUGGUUUUUUUCCUUAUACUUUUAAUUAUUGUAUUUCCAGUUCUUCGGAGGCUCGGCCCUUGAGGCUUGAUCAGUUGCUGCCUUGCUGGGUUAUUCACUCCGGUCACUCCACCGAAUCUAGGAUGUUAAAGAGAUAUUCUAAUACAACCACAAUUGGUUAUAGCAAUCACAAUUGUAGUUUGGAUUUGCAGUAAAUGAAGCCAAUGAAGGACUGAAAGUGGGUGAAUUGAUUGUUGGGGGCUUUGGUUGUGAGGGAAAAUGGAGUUUUUUUUAUGAAGAAAGCUUCCACAGCUGAGUUGGAUGCUUUCUAUCCAGUUAGAGAGGAAAGCCGAGUUGAAAUCCCCAAGACCCGAUUUAGGCUAAGGAACCCAAUUGUUUAUGCAGAGGGGAAAAGAGGCAUUAAAGUUUUUCUACUGAAGUUUACUAAGAUGUUAUCAUAGGUCCUGUUGCUGAGGAUAUGUUCCAUUGGCAAGCAAGGGGAACAGAGAACGAGGGGAGGACAAUAAGAGACUAAGAUGGGAGAUACCAAGGCACCAAUGGUCAGGUUGCCUUGGCAGUUUAUUUGCUAUAAUAAAGACAUCAACAAGGUACAUUCCGGUAUGUUCCAACAGAGAUUUCUUGUCAGCAUGUGGAGUGACAAGCAGUCGCAACCAAGCUCAGCCGAAGAAAAACCAACUGAGGACAUCUUCGAAGAGCUAAUAAUGUAAAACUCUUGGUUUACAAUACUGCAAUAGUACUUGCUAGGCUAGCCUUGUAGUAGGUUAAUUUGGGUUUUAUUUUGCCUAUUUUGUGAACUGUGAAGGAUGAUGAUUUUGGACAAAAUACCCCAAUAUUGAAAUCACUUUUGUCAACUGUGGAUAUUGCAUUUUAUAGCAGCAGCUACAUAUUUUGUGGA
Long non-coding RNA from Rosa rugosa (rugosa rose), 1689 nucleotides. RefSeq lists it as uncharacterized. The record is from RefSeq and is a predicted model, not a curated record. Lineage: Eukaryota; Viridiplantae; Streptophyta; Magnoliopsida; Rosales; Rosaceae. The transcript is spliced from 9 exons.